UAUGGUAAUUGUGUGCCAGCCUCCUCUUUACUACGUAGGCGGCAAGCGUUGUCCGGAAUUAUUGGGCGUAAAGGGAGCGCAGGCGGGAAACUAAGCGGAUCUUAAAAGUGCGGGGCUCAACCCCGUGAUGGGGUCCGAACUGGUUUUCUUGAGUGCAGGAGAGGAAAGCGGAAUUCCCAGUGUAGCGGUGAAAUGCGUAGAUAUUGGGAAGAACACCAGUGGCGAAGGCGGCUUUCUGGACUGUAACUGACGCUGAGGCUCGAAAGCUAGGGUAGCGAACGGG
RNAcentral lists this ribosomal RNA (283 nucleotides) under Megamonas funiformis YIT 11815. Its description in RNAcentral is "partial 16S ribosomal RNA". It matches the Rfam family "Bacterial small subunit ribosomal RNA", at positions 493 to 776 of the family's 1533-position model. The record is from RNAcentral. Lineage: Bacteria; Bacillati; Bacillota; Negativicutes; Selenomonadales; Selenomonadaceae.